CAGUAGCCGCGGUAAUACGGAGGGAGCUAGCGUUGUUCGGAAUCACUGGGCGUAAAGCGCACGUAGGCGGCUACUCAAGUCAGGGGUGAAAGCCCGGGGCUCAACCCCGGAACUGCCUUUGAAACUAGAUAGCUUGAAUCUUGGAGAGGCGAGUGGAAUUCCGAGUGUAGAGGUGAAAUUCGUAGAUAUUCGGAAGAACACCAGUGGCGAAGGCGACUCGCUGGACAAGUAUUGACGCUGAGGUGCGAAAGCGUGGGGAGCAAACAGGAUUAGAUACCCCCGUAGUCCCUGUCUCUUAUAC
This 301-nucleotide ribosomal RNA is filed under the name uncultured bacterium. Its description in RNAcentral is "partial 16S ribosomal RNA". It matches the Rfam family "Bacterial small subunit ribosomal RNA", at positions 509 to 807 of the family's 1533-position model. The record is from RNAcentral.